Non-coding RNA from Drosophila melanogaster (fruit fly), 22 nucleotides. The record is from Ensembl. Lineage: Eukaryota; Metazoa; Arthropoda; Insecta; Diptera; Drosophilidae.
UAGGAACUUAAUACCGUGCUCU